This 301-nucleotide ribosomal RNA is filed under the name uncultured bacterium. RNAcentral's name for it is "partial 16S ribosomal RNA". It matches the Rfam family "Bacterial small subunit ribosomal RNA", at positions 509 to 807 of the family's 1533-position model. The record is from RNAcentral.
CAGCAGCCACGGGAAUACGUAGGUGGCAAGCGUUGUCCGGAAUUAUUGGGCGUAAAGGGCUCGCAGGCGGUUUCUUAAGUCUGAUGUGAAAGCCCCCGGCUCAACCGGGGAGGGUCAUUGGAAACUGGGAAACUUGAGUGCAGAAGAGGAGAGUGGAAUUCCACGUGUAGCGGUGAAAUGCGUAGAGAUUAGGAGGAACACCAGUGGCGAAGGCGGCUUUUUGGCCUGUAACUGACACUGAGGCGCGAAAGCGUGGGGAGCAAACAGGAUUAGAUACCCCGGUAGUCCCUGUCUCUUAUAC